AACGAACGCUGGCGGCAUGCCUAACACAUGCAAGUCGAACGAGACCUUCGGGUCUAGUGGCGCACGGGUGCGUAACGCGUGGGAACCUGCCCUUAGGUUCGGAAUAACUCCCCGAAAGGGGUGCUAAUACCGGAUAAUGUCUUCGGACCAAAGAUUUAUCGCCUUUGGAUGGGCCCGCGUUGGAUUAGCUAGUUGGUAGGGUAAAAGCCUACCAAGGCGACGAUCCAUAGCUGGUCUGAGAGGAUGAUCAGCCACACUGGGACUGAGACACGGCCCAGACUCCUACGGGAGGCAGCAGUGGGGAAUAUUGGACACUGGGCGAAAGCCUGAUCCAGCAAUGCCGCGUGAGUGAUGAAGGCCUUAGGGUUGUAACGCUCUUUUACCCGGGAUGAUAAUGACAGUACCGGGAGAAUAAGCUCCGGCUAACUCCGUG
RNAcentral lists this ribosomal RNA (433 nucleotides) under uncultured bacterium. Its description in RNAcentral is "partial 16S ribosomal RNA". It matches the Rfam family "Bacterial small subunit ribosomal RNA", at positions 29 to 507 of the family's 1533-position model. The record is from RNAcentral.